GAAGUAUACUGAAAAGUGAGAGCUGCUAACUCAUCACUCUAGCGGUUAAAUUCCGUUUAUAUUUCU
Molecule: transfer RNA, 66 nt
Filed under: Parcoblatta uhleriana
Lineage: Eukaryota; Metazoa; Arthropoda; Insecta; Blattodea; Blattellidae
Description: tRNA-Ser
Source: RNAcentral